Molecule: ribosomal RNA, 253 nt
Filed under: uncultured bacterium
Lineage: Bacteria
Description: partial 16S ribosomal RNA
Rfam family: Bacterial small subunit ribosomal RNA
Source: RNAcentral
UACGUAGGGUGCAAGCGUUGUCCGGAAUUAUUGGGCGUAAAGGGCUCGUAGGCGGUUUGUCGCGUCGGGAGUGAAAACCAGGUGCUUAACACCUGGCUUGCUUUCGAUACGGGCAGACUAGAGGUAUGCAGGGGAGAACGGAAUUCCUGGUGUAGCGGUGAAAUGCGCAGAUAUCGGGAGGAACACCAGUGGCGAAGGCGACUUCCUGGCCUGUUCUUGACGCUGAGGCGCGAAAGCUAGGGGAGCAAACGGG